CCUGUCCCUAGAGGUGGUGCAGGUGUGGCUGCUGGGUCAUGUGUGCAUCAGUAGGUGACAGAGAGGAGAGAUGCUAUGUUUAAGCUCAGUGUUCUGACCUGUGAACAUCUAAAUGAUUAGUAGCCUGAUAUU
This is a small nucleolar RNA of Mastomys coucha (southern multimammate mouse), 132 nucleotides long. RefSeq annotates it as small nucleolar RNA SNORA17. NCBI's taxonomy places the organism in Eukaryota, Metazoa, Chordata, Mammalia, Rodentia, Muridae. The record is from RefSeq and is a predicted model, not a curated record. The transcript has a single exon.